AAGCUCCAAUUCUCUUCAGUUCGUACAAAUCUUUCGCCUUUUACUAAAGAUUUCCGUGGAGAGAAUGGAUUGAGAGUUUUGAAAGCAAUUUUUGAAUGCCUGACCUCUCAGUUAGGUU
Small nuclear RNA from Carcharodon carcharias (great white shark), 118 nucleotides. RefSeq annotates it as U5 spliceosomal RNA. The record is from RefSeq and is a predicted model, not a curated record. NCBI's taxonomy places the organism in Eukaryota, Metazoa, Chordata, Chondrichthyes, Lamniformes, Lamnidae. The transcript has a single exon.